This 754-nucleotide ribosomal RNA is filed under the name uncultured delta proteobacterium. Its description in RNAcentral is "bacterial SSU rRNA". It matches the Rfam family "Bacterial small subunit ribosomal RNA", at positions 574 to 1326 of the family's 1533-position model. The record is from RNAcentral. Lineage: Bacteria; Deltaproteobacteria.
GGUGGCUUGAUAAGUCGGAUGUGAAAGCCCUGGGCUCAACCCAGGAAGUGCGUCCGAUACUGUUGAGCUCGAGUGCGGUAGAGGGAACUGGAAUUCCUGGUGUAGGGGUGAAAUCCGUAGAUAUCAGGAGGAAUACCAAUGGCGAAGGCAGGUUCCUGGUCCGUAACUGACACUCAGACCCGAAAGCGUGGGUAGCAAACAGGAUUAGAUACCCUGGUAGUCCACGCCAUAAACUCUGGAUGCUUGUCGUUGGAAGAUUGAAACUUUCAGUGACGGAGCUAACGCGUUAAGCAUCCCGCCUGGGGAGUACGGUCGCAAGAUUAAAACUCAAAGAAAUUGACGGGGACCCGCACAAGCAGUGGAGCAUGUGGUUUAAUUCGACGCAACGCGAAGAACCUUAUCCUGGCCUUGACAUUUACCGGACCGGUCCUGGAAACAGGCCUUUCCCUUCGGGGACUGGUAGACAGGUGCUGCAUGGCUGUCGUCAGCUCGUGUCGUGAGAUGUUGGGUUAAGUCCCGUAACGAGCGCAACCCACGCCCCUUGUUGCCAGCAUUAGGUUGGGCACUCUAGGGGGACUGCCAGUGUGAAACUGGAGGAAGGUGUGGAUGACGUCAAGUCCUCAUGGCCCUUAUGGCCAGGGCUACACACGUGCUACAAUGGAACGUACAAAGGGCAGCGAAACCGCAAGGCGAAGCUAAUCUCAAAAAACGUUCCUCAGUUCGGAUUGAGGUCUGCAACUCGACCUCAUGAAGC